Molecule: ribosomal RNA, 301 nt
Filed under: uncultured bacterium
Lineage: Bacteria
Description: partial 16S ribosomal RNA
Rfam family: Bacterial small subunit ribosomal RNA
Source: RNAcentral
CAGCAGCCGCGGGAAUACAGAGGGUGCGAGCGUUAAUCGGAAUUACUGGGCGUAAAGCGUGCGUAGGCGGCUUUUUAAGUCGGAUGUGAAAUCCCUGAGCUUAACUUAGGAAUUGCAUUCGAUACUGGGAAGCUAGAGUAUGGGAGAGGAUGGUAGAAUUCCAGGUGUAGCGGUGAAAUGCGUAGAGAUCUGGAGGAAUACCGAUGGCGAAGGCAGCCAUCUGGCCUAAUACUGACGCUGAGGUACGAAAGCAUGGGGAGCAAACAGGAUUAGAUACCCCAGUAGUCCCUGUCUCUUAUAC